This 178-nucleotide non-coding RNA is filed under the name Crypthecodinium cohnii. Lineage: Eukaryota; Dinophyceae; Gonyaulacales; Crypthecodiniaceae. The record is from RNAcentral.
CCCACCAUUUUUGAAACCAAAAAUAGCCGGUCGUUCGUGCAGACGAUGGCUGAGGUUUGUCGGCAACUUGAUGGUUUGGUUCGGAAUAUUGUGGCCACCAGGAGAGAAGGCGUGCAGCAGCUGGACAAGCUGCUGAGUCUCGGCCGGGAGAUCGUCAGCAACAUCCUUCCCAUCUUGG